Molecule: long non-coding RNA, 613 nt
Filed under: Vigna radiata
Lineage: Eukaryota; Viridiplantae; Streptophyta; Magnoliopsida; Fabales; Fabaceae
Description: long non-coding RNA (VRAD_LNC017505)
Source: RNAcentral
CACAAUUAGGAAAAACGGGAAAAUAUCGAACAAUUAAACACAAUUCCCUGAUUAAAUCCGGUACAAUAAACUAAGUGCAGUCAAUAAAAAUAUCGACUCAUCAAAAUAGACCACACUUAGUCUUUUGCACUCCUGGGCAAAAUCAAGACACAAAACAGGGAACAGUACUGAGGACAUUAGGGAAUGACACAGACUCGACAGAUAAACAACAAAGACUCACAAAACAAAAACAGGGUUGCACAAUUCUCACAAAAUCUGGACAAUGAAAGGCAUAGGCAGAAUCCCCACAGAGAGUCAAUGAAAGCAGAUACUCACAGAAUCAUCCAAACAGUUCAGUACAUGGAAAACAAUCAAUCAGUUCAAGAGAUGAAUCAAAAGCAACAAAGCCUCACAGAUGCACACAAUCAGUGUUUCUCUCAAGUGUCUAAGGUAAAUCAAUGUCACUCGAUGCACUCAAGAAAGCAAACACAAAUAGACUUGGCAAGCCUCUAAUAUCAACACUCAAGCACACAUGCAUGUUCAAAUCAAAAGGUCUUUCAUGGUUGUAAUGGGGCCAAGGGCAAGGGAGGAUAUCAUAUGGAUAAGAAGCUACCAACCAAAAGGAACAGAGGAG